UACGUUCCCGGGUCUUGUACACACCGCCCGUCACGCCAUGGGAGCGGGUUUUACCAGAAGUAGGUAGCUUAACCGCAAGGGGGGCGCUUACCACGGUAGGAUUCGUGACUGGGGUG
This 116-nucleotide ribosomal RNA is filed under the name uncultured bacterium. RNAcentral describes it as "partial 16S ribosomal RNA". It matches the Rfam family "Bacterial small subunit ribosomal RNA", at positions 1367 to 1482 of the family's 1533-position model. The record is from RNAcentral.